This 497-nucleotide ribosomal RNA is filed under the name uncultured bacterium. Its description in RNAcentral is "partial 16S ribosomal RNA". It matches the Rfam family "Bacterial small subunit ribosomal RNA", at positions 28 to 507 of the family's 1533-position model. The record is from RNAcentral.
GAUGAACGCUGGCGGCGUGCCUAAUACAUGCAAGUCGAGCGAACAGACGAGGAGCUUGCUCCUCUGACGUUAGCGGCGGACGGGUGAGUAACACGUGGAUAACCUACCUAUAAGACUGGGAUAACUUCGGGAAACCGGAGCUAAUACCGGAUAAUAUAUUGAACCGCAUGGUUCAAUAGUGAAAGACGGUUUUGCUGUCACUUAUAGAUGGAUCCGCGCCGCAUUAGCUAGUUGGUAAGGUAACGGCUUACCAAGGCGACGAUGCGUAGCCGACCUGAGAGGGUGAUCGGCCACACUGGGACUGAGACACGGUCCAGACUCCUACGGGAGGCAGCAGUGGGGAAUAUUCCGCAAUGGGCGAAAGCCUGACGGAGCAACGCCGCGUGAGUGAAGAAGGUCUUCGGAUCGUAAAACUCUGUUAUUAGGGAAGAACAAAUGUGUAAGUAACUAUGCACGUCUUGACGGUACCUAAUCAGAAAGCCACGGCUAACUACGUG